This 480-nucleotide ribosomal RNA is filed under the name Triticum aestivum (bread wheat). RNAcentral describes it as "partial small subunit ribosomal RNA". Lineage: Eukaryota; Viridiplantae; Streptophyta; Magnoliopsida; Poales; Poaceae. The record is from RNAcentral.
UUUGAGAUGGACGAGGAGGGCGAGGGAAUUGUCGAGGCGCCGAAAGGAAGAGCGGGCAAUUACUCAACCAACGAUGACAAGUUACUAUGCCAUACUUAUUUGCAAGUGUCGAGAGAUCCAUCCAUUGGAGGUGAUCAAAGUAGAGACGCGUAUUGGGGGCGAAUGAAAGAACACUUUGAUGCUCAUAACUUGAGUGGAAUUGACCGCUCCGAGAGAUCACUUCGGUCCCGAUGGUCGACAAUCAACUCGGAUUGUCAAAAGUGGGCGGCCGUACAAAAGGCAGUUGACAAGAUUAACCCAAGUGGCACAAAUGAGGAUGAUCGAGUAAGUGGCAUCUCAUAUAUGUUCAUCAUACUUGUUUUUGGUGACCGAAGUGCUAACUUGUUUUGUUUUUCUUGUAGUACAACAUUGCACAAAACUUGUUCAAAGAAGAGACAAGGACAACCAAGAAGGGGAAGAUCAAGAAAGGCAGGAAGCGUG